This 465-nucleotide ribosomal RNA is filed under the name uncultured bacterium. RNAcentral describes it as "bacterial SSU rRNA". It matches the Rfam family "Bacterial small subunit ribosomal RNA", at positions 338 to 795 of the family's 1533-position model. The record is from RNAcentral.
CCUACGGGGCGCACCAGUGGGGAAUAUUGCACAAUGGGCGCAAGCCUGAUGCAGCCAUGCCGCGUGUAUGAAGAAGGCCUUCGGGUUGUAAAGUACUUUCAGCGGGGAGGAAGGCGGUGAGGUUAAUAACCUCACCGAUUGACGUUACCCGCAGAUGAAGCACCGGCUAACUCCGUGCCAGCAGCCGCGGUAAUACGGAGGGUGCAAGCGUUAAUCGGAAUUACUGGGCGUAAAGCGCACGCAGGCGGUCUGUCAAGUCGGAUGUGAAAUCCCCGGGCUCAACCUGGGAACUGCAUUCGAAACUGGCAGGCUAGAGUCUUGUAGAGGGGGGUAGAAUUCCAGGUGUAGCGGUGAAAUGCGUAGAGAUCUGGAGGAAUACCGGUGGCGAAGGCGGCCCCCUGGACAAUGACUGACGCUCAGGUGCGAAAGCGUGGGGAGCAAACAGGAUUAGAUACCCGUGUAGUC